Molecule: ribosomal RNA, 383 nt
Filed under: uncultured bacterium
Lineage: Bacteria
Description: bacterial SSU rRNA
Rfam family: Bacterial small subunit ribosomal RNA
Source: RNAcentral
GACGAACGCUGGCGGCGUGCUUAACACAUGCAAGUCGAGCGGUAAGGCCCUUUCGGGGUACACGAGCGGCGAACGGGUGAGUAACACGUGGGUGACCUGCCCUCAGCUCUGGGAUAAGCCUGGGAAACCGGGUCUAAUACUGGAUAUGACUCCAUGACGCAUGUUGUGGGGUGGAAAGCCUUGUGCGGCUGAGGAUGGGCCCGCGGCCUAUCAGCUUGUUGGUGGGGUGAUGGCCUACCAAGCGACGACGGGUAGCCGGCCUGAGAGGGCGACCGGUCACACUGGGACUGAGACACGGCCCAGACUCCUACGGGAGGCCAGCAGUGGGGAANCUUGCGCAAUGGGCGAAAGCCUGACGCAAGCGACGCCGCGUGAGGGAUGAC